RNAcentral lists this ribosomal RNA (468 nucleotides) under uncultured bacterium. RNAcentral's name for it is "partial 16S ribosomal RNA". It matches the Rfam family "Bacterial small subunit ribosomal RNA", at positions 28 to 507 of the family's 1533-position model. The record is from RNAcentral.
GACGAACGCUGGCAGCGUGCUUAACACAUGCAAGUCGAACGGAAAGGCCCUGCUUUUGUGGGGUGCUCGAGUGGCGAACGGGUGAGUAACACGUGAGUAACCUGCCCUUGACUUUGGGAUAACUCCAGGAAACUGGGGCUAAUACCGGAUAGGAGCUCCUGCUGCAUGGUGGGGGUUGGAAAGUUUCGGCGGUUGGGGAUGGACUCGCGGCUUAUCAGCUUGUUGGUGGGGUAGUGGCUUACCAAGGCUUUGACGGGUAGCCGGCCUGAGAGGGUGACCGGCCACAUUGGGACUGAGAUACGGCCCAGACUCCUACGGGAGGCAGCAGUGGGGAAUAUUGCACAAUGGGCGGAAGCCUGAUGCAGCAACGCCGCGUGCGGGAUGACGGCCUUCGGGUUGUAAACCGCUUUCGCCUGUGACGAAGCGUGAGUGACGGUAAUGGGUAAAGAAGCACCGGCUAACUACGUG